Molecule: non-coding RNA, 718 nt
Organism: Arachis ipaensis
Lineage: Eukaryota; Viridiplantae; Streptophyta; Magnoliopsida; Fabales; Fabaceae
Source: RefSeq, a predicted model, not a curated record
CUAGCCCUCGUUACUCACUCACCCACUGCCAGCCCCUCUCCCCCAUAUACAUACAACACAACCUUAGCAAACCAAAAAGGAAAGAAAAGAAAACGGGGAUUAAGGGAGACGAGAGAAAGAAGGUUGCGAUCAGAGAGGAGAGAGUGCUGCGAGCCAGGACGACGCGAGGAAGGAGAGGAGCCGUCGCGCUCGGCCGCUGCCAGCUUCGUCGCAUCCUGCGCCGCGCCAUCGCCGCCCAGACCGCGUCCGUUCCGUUCAGCCACCGCCGCUGCCAUCGUGUGGUGAGAGGGAGAAGCUGAGAAAGGCUCAGCCGCGAGAACCAGAGGCGCGUGAGAGAGGGAAGACGCGAUCGACAAAGGGAAAGGAAAAGGGUUUCACCGCCGCGGUGUCCUGCCUCCACUGCUGCUUCCGAUCGGAGCCCUAGCCACCGGAGCCCCUACCGUCACCAUUGCAUGUGGAAAGAGGAGAUGACGUUGCCGAUUCUGAUUUUGCCCAAGUCCCUCAUCGUCAUUGGAAUCACGAACCAGAGGCGGAAGGAGGCGUUCCUCCAUCACAAGCCAGCCACCAAGCUAUGACCAAAUUGGAGACGUUGUUUCUAUUACCUUCCGUUUCGAGUUAUUAUUGUCAUUGUUCGGCGUUGCCACCCUUGUCUAGAGCUAUUGAAUAUUUCUGCUGCGAGAAUAUUACUAGAAUCGUUGCUGCUGCCACGAAUUGGGGA